CCGAAUGGCAAAAACAUCAUUACAAAUUACAAUAUAACAAUCCACGCUGGUCUAGUCUGGACUGAGGGCUUUUUUUGAUAUCGAUCACAUGAGUGAUAAAAAACGCCGCACAGUGGAUCAGCAACCAAUCGCACAUCCUCGCCGAUCAUUUUGAUGGCAAGUCAAAGAAACAUGCAAUGUCGAUAAAUUCUAAAACCAUAGCCCGGUCGCUGGCUGUUGAAAAAUCAAUCGACGCGAGGACGAAUUUGAGAAACAGAAAUGCUAGGGGAUGGCAGAGAGACUCCUUCCAGAGAAUACGAGGAUAUGAUUUCAAUGAUAAUGUGGAUAGUACUGCUCCUUACUUUGUACGCAGUUGGGCACCUAAGGUAAAGAAGCAGCAUACAAUCGUGCCUUGGCUUGAUUUUGCUUGAGGGAAAGUUGUUGGUUGUUUGUGGCCUUCUGCCCACAGCACGCUCAAGUAUAUGUUGGAUAAUUUAGCCAGUGAAAGUUCAGCGGAUGUGGAUUGGAGGCCCUCGUUUUACUUGAAUUUGAUUGCACAUUCAUCAUACACAGCAACUGUGGCAAUUUGCAGUCAACAAGUCCUUCGAAAUCAUCAAGCUGGUUAAGAUACACAGUUGUCUCCUAUAUAUAAGCUGGCAAGUCUUGAUUUGGGAGUCUUCUUGGUCAAUCCCCUGGGAAAACAGACAGACUCCACAUGAAAGGUCCAGGAGGACGGGGGGAAGUUGAAGUAGCUGUUUCUGGUGUUGCAGAUCAAAGCCAGCACGAUGUUGGCCCCCUUUCACCUGUUAGUUCAAAGAAAGGAUUUGGGAUUGGCUCAGUUUUUUUAAAAGCAGCAUCUGUGGCAGCAAAGCAUGAUCUUCUGAUGACGAGAUGUUGCCCCUCAAAUGCUGCUUAAUGUCCAUAUCAUUGCCCUGGGAAUAUAUCGUUUAUGAUCUUUUAUUCAAGGUAAAAUCACUGUUUUUGCUUCUGUAUUCCUCAAUGAAGAUAGGUUCAAUUUUGGAUUGUGGUAUUGUAUUACUCUUUACUAGAAGCUUCUUUAUUUCUAUCAUCUUUCUCAUUUUGCUAUUAGCUGUGCCAAUUGGUAAGCUUAAACUCAGUGUUGCAAUUUUAAGAUAUGAACAUUAUCUUUCCAUGUUCA
Long non-coding RNA from Populus nigra (black poplar), 1138 nucleotides. RefSeq lists it as uncharacterized. Lineage: Eukaryota; Viridiplantae; Streptophyta; Magnoliopsida; Malpighiales; Salicaceae. The record is from RefSeq and is a predicted model, not a curated record. The transcript is spliced from 6 exons.